GACAGAGGGUGCAAACGUUGUUCGGAAUUACUGGGCGUAAAGCGCGUGUAGGCGGCCAUGCAAGUCGGAUGUGAAAGCCCUCGGCUCAACCGGGGAAGUGCACUCGAAACUGCAAGGCUAGAGUCUCGGAGAGGAUCGUGGAAUUCUCGGUGUAGAGGUGAAAUUCGUAGAUAUCGUAAGGAAGACCAGUGGCGAAGGCGAAUCUCUGGACAGUUACUGACACUGAGGCACGAAGGCCAGGGGAGCAAACGGG
This 253-nucleotide ribosomal RNA is filed under the name uncultured bacterium. RNAcentral's name for it is "partial 16S ribosomal RNA". It matches the Rfam family "Bacterial small subunit ribosomal RNA", at positions 524 to 776 of the family's 1533-position model. The record is from RNAcentral.